RNAcentral lists this long non-coding RNA (7653 nucleotides) under Sus scrofa (pig). RNAcentral describes it as "lncRNA (ENSSSCG00060048661.1)". Lineage: Eukaryota; Metazoa; Chordata; Mammalia; Artiodactyla; Suidae. The record is from RNAcentral.
UUUUUUUUUUUUUUUUUUUUUUAGCCUGACCUCUAUUACCCAAGUUUGACAUCAGCCCAUUUGGUGGGAAAAGUAUCCAAUUAAGCAGAAGUCAGACUAAGGUGACAACACAGUGCACCAAUUCAGUUAGUAAAAUAGACAAAAAUUAUAUUAUUUCCAAUACAACUUUUUAUACUACUUAGCACGAGCAUCUACCACAGUCCUAAGCCCCCACAUAGUCUUAAAUAAUAAAAGAAGGUGAUGAAUGUUCAAGCAUUCUUGGAUUGAAAGAGACUCUUUGGAGAAACUGUUCACACAACUAGGGAGGGAGAUUUGAUUUAACCGGACAGGAAAAGUCAUGACUGAGAUUUCACAGUCAAUGCUUCGUAAAUAUUUAAGUAGCAAAAACCUACCGAACACCAUUUCCUUAGUAGGUAAAUCAAGUAUGUUACCUUUCUUUCCACAAAGAUGAAACCUGUCUCUACCUUGGCACAGAGACCUAUGGCAGAAAAUAGGAAAGCACACAAAAUACUGGCAAAAAAUGGACUUCUGUAAGUUAGAGUUUGCAUAAAGUCAUUCACAACUUUCUCUGUUAAUUCAGUAUCUUCACGGAGCCCAGAAAUCAUUUCCAUACAUCCAAUUACAUUGUUACACUAGCAAUUCACUCUUUGGUAUUUUGGUAUAUUUCUACUAACAGUUAUAAAGUGAAAACAUAGGAAAAAUCCUUAGACUAUCACACAGAAAUAAAAAUAAAACUUAGGGCUUUUGGUAUGGAUUUGAUUUUUCUUAUAUUUAAGCUAUGUUUUAUUCACUUAACCAUAGUAAAAAGUAGCCAGGAUCAGUUCUAUUUGACCUGUAAUGUAGGCAAAACAAAUAAAGAGCUCUUUGUCAUUGGCUCUAAUUUCUGGUCCUCUACCAGCUGAGUUCAAAUAGUCAGGGCCUCUAAAAUCAUUUCUACUUCCUCUGUCAAAGCCUACCUGCAGAAGAGGCAAUAACCAUCCACACCAUAUGGUAGGAAUUUAUAAAGACUUAAGGAAUAACUUGCCCUAGAAAUUUAAAAAAAAAAUGUGUGUGUGUGUGUGUGUGUGUGUGUGUGUGUGUAUAAACACAUAUACAUACAAGUGAUAAAUGCUAAGUUUUGAGGUCUUAACUGCAGAAUUUCUGGGAUCAAAGAGUGACAACAGCAGGCAUAUGGAGAACAUCAGACCCCACUCUGUUAUAACAUGAUGUUUAGUACACUGUUUAUAUGUGAAAAUACCUAACAUAGGUCUUGGCAUACGAUGGGUAUAAAUAUGCUGAAUUUCAAAAAAUUCUGUAACAGUACCACAUAGUCACAGACAAGAUAACUAGCCUACCUAAAUAUACUGUUAGACCCGAAUACAUUCUAAAAAGAUAUUCCAUACACACUAAGCAUCAAGAAAACAUGACUUUUGCAUAUUAUAUGUAAUAUAUAACUUCUCCCUCCUCGGCGUUCCCAAGAUUAUCUCUUCUUAUACCUCUAUUAGACAUAUCUUCGCUAAAAUUCUGUAACAUUUUAAGAGUUCAUUAUUCUAUUUCCCAGUCCUCAUCUAAAAUCUAAACUAUUUAAGAGAAAAAUUAAACCACAAUUUUCUAUUUUCAAAAUAUGAUUUCUUACUUUAAAGUAUACAGAAUGGCAUAAAGGUAAUAUUGUUUUCUAAAAACCAAUCCCAAUUACACAAAUUUAAUUUAAAACUAUCCCCAAUAUUUUAAAAAGCCAAAUUAUGCCACAGUUAAUUUUAUCAAUAACUAAAUUAGCAUAUAUUUAUGCAGCUAUUGGUUUUUCCAUAAAAAAGAAAAAAAAAGAAAAAUAAAAAUCAGGAGAAUACUAAAAUACGUAUUUCCACAUCUGUGCUACAAUGCAUCUAAAUCGCUCUGAUCAGCUUCAUUUUUUUGAAGCAAUACACAUAUCUGUAAUGAUCAGGACCAGCUCUAUCUGGUUCUUACAGAUAGUCUUGGCAAACUGUCGGUCGCCUGGUAAAUUAAAGUGAUUCAUCAAUGUCAAUGCCGUCGUAAAUACACAAGAUUGGCUAGCUAAGAUGGAUACAAAGUACAGAAAAGGUGCCAGCUGUGUUGGAUGCUUGAAUUUUUUUUUUCAGUCAGGAGAUACACUUCAUAUAUGACGAAGUCUAUCAAACAUGAUUCUUGUUUCGUUUUAUUGUCAGAAAUCCUUUUCAUUAAAAUUUUUCAAACCUAAAGCCUCUGAAAAAGAUACAGCACAUUAAAUUUCCUUAACAGUUAUCUAUAGUUUCCAAAAUCAAACGUGAAUUAAGAAAAAAUGUAAACAGAUAUUCAUGUGCGGGGGGGGAAACGACAAAGUUCAUAAAGUAAAAAAAAAAAAGAAGAAGGUCAUGAACCAACAAGCAUCAGAGUAGGUCAGUUUUUCAUUAUAACGAUAUUUUUUAACAUAAGGGCUGAAGUGAUGAAAUCAAAUGUUUUCAGGUACCUGGUUUUAGUAAUCUGAGACAAAGAAAUAAUAGUAUGAUAGAAACAUUUAAUAACCUUUUCCUUACUUAUUUGACAUUAUGAUGUUGAUUUCUCACAGACCUAUUUCCUCAUUCCUUAUUUAAGGAAGCAAUCUGAUGCCCCAGAUUUCCAGUGUUUAAUUCAGUAACUAUUUAUUUAAACAUGGGUAUUCCUAAGGUGUUGUUUUUAGAUAUAAAAGGGACAUGAGAACCAGUUCUAUCCUUGACCCCCGAAAUAAUUCUGUUUCUCAAUAUCCAGAGCAGAAUAACAUUUCAUAUGCCAUAUAUAAGUAACAGGAUCUGAAAAAUCUUAUAUUUCCAAUGAAUAGCAAAGCAUGAUUUUUAUUGAAAAUAAAUUUAAACUCACAAGUAUAUUUAGAGCUAUAGUUUGGGCAAGUGAUCUAGAAUGAUAAUGUAGAUUUGAAGGCAUAUAUACAUACAUAUAUAUAUGGAGUGAUGGAAUAAAUGAUAUAGAAAAUACGAUUAUCUCAAGAUAGUUAAGUAUUUAAGGAAUGAAUACCUAUUUAUGAGACAUUUAUGACUGGAUGUUCAGUCUAAUAAAGUAACUUGAUAAAACAGAAUCAAUCAACGCAUCCCAAACCUCUUCCUCCUCCUAUAUUUCCUAUACUCUUCCUCCUAAAUCAUGAUUUUAAGGCCCCAAACAGGAAUUAGUCCUGACAUUUUCCUCAUUCUUACCAAUCCCCAAUAACUGGUUCAUCAUAACAUUUAUCCUCCUAAACAGUUCGUUUCUCCCCAUUGCUACUUCUGUAUCUCUAAGCCACGUUACCAUCAUUCUGCCCUACCCUAUUCAAAUAAGCUUUAGCUUGUUUCUCUGUGGUCUUGGUGACUCUCCUUUUUUUGCAUUAAAGCCAGUAAUAGUCUUAUAAAAUGCCAACUUCACUUCUAUUCCCAAACUCUUUAAAACUUCUUUUGGCCUUGAGUCAAAUUUCAAACCCUUCUAAGAGGCCAUAAAAUGCUUUGAUCACCAACCUCACAUCUCACCAAUAAGCACCCCCGCCCCCUGCUUCCACAUCUCCAUCUCCACACAGAGACAUUUACAGACACCUUACACUCUAGGCACAGUACUCAAUUUUAAUUUAUUCAAAGGCGUCAGGUUUUCUUAUCACCCCUCUUUUAUUUGCAUAUUCUCUGCCUUCUAUCUGGAGUUCUAACCUCAUUUCCAGCCCACGAACAGCAAACUACUCCUGAGGAAAUCAAGACCCUAUGAGGUUAUCACCUCCCUUUAUUAAAUGUAGCUAGUGGUAUAUAACUAAAUGAUUAAAGCCAGAUUUCCUUGCAAUAAGAUUAGUAUUUUACUCUUUAUUUUUAAACAUUUUUUAAAUUUAGCAGAAGUUUCUUUUACAAAUGAUAGAUGGAACUCAUGUAUACAUCUUAAAAAAUGGGAUCCUUUGCUUCUUGCAGUUUUGUGGAUAAGUGGUCUCAAAACAUUUCCUUUCUCUGGAAUCACUUAGGCUAUCUCAAAAACACUAGACACUUGAUAGCUGAAAAGUAUAAGCUUCAACUAUAACUAUAACUUCUUCUACUCUUUCCCUAUAUUAUGCCUUUGUUCAUUGAAAAAGGAAUUUAUAACAACACAUUUAGUAUCUAAAGAAGAGCUUCUGAAAGGUAAUGCUCAAACCAGUCACCUGUGAGUGGAGAAGGACACAUUUUAAAAGCACACUUUGAUUCAGCAGGUCAGGGUGGAGGCUGAGAUUCUGCAUUUCUAACAAGCUUCCAGGUGAUGCAGUUGUUGCUGAUCUAAGGACCACCUCAUACCUGAGCAGAAAGGGUCUGUGUUAUAGAAAAAGUCCCGUUCCUUUCUACCAACUUAUUCAUAUCUCUUCAGGGAUAAAGGGUAACAAAUUUUUUCCACCAGAAUUUUCACAAGUGAGUGAGUUUAAUUCAUUAAGUAUUAUCCAUGUGCAUACAGAACACACACACACAUUCAUGCUCAUCACAUAGCCUCUGUCUUCUGAACUUGUAGCACCCUGAUCCUACCAGGCUGCCAUCCUGCACCUGCCCACUCACCUGCUUCAUGUUUCUAGGUGGUAAAAGUGCCUGGACAGUGAUGGGGACCUCAAGGAUGAGAUCUUGGGCAGGAGUUAUGGACAUUUUACAUUAAGCUUGUGCACUGCAUAACUUGAGCCUGUGUAUCUUUUGGAUUUGUUUCAUUAAAGAAAGAAGCACAUUGUUUUUUAAAAAGCCAUGUUUUCCAUUGGAUCUUUGCCUAAAGUUCUAUUUUUGAGAAAUCAGUGGGAAAUGCCCAGCCCAUUCAGAAAGGAGAUACUUGGAUCCUCACAUGACCAGGAAGGAGGGUCUUGUUUCUAUUUUCUCUGUCAAAUAGAGCACAGUGGGGUGAAUAACUUUAGGCCUCCGCAACCACUUUCCCUAACCUGCAUCCUAUCUUUAAAUAGAGUAGUUAGGAAAAUCUGAUGUGUUUUACUAUAUACGCAUACUUUCAAAAUGUAUAUUGCUAUCCAGCAAACAGAACACUGAUUUUUUUUUAAAGUGAGCAUGCAAAUACUGCAGCAUAUUUUUAAACUGAGAUCAACUGCGUUUUUUCUGAACUUCAGGAAAGUCAGCUUAUUUUGAAAUGUGUACACGAUAGCUUACUCACUCAUCAUUGCACUUGAUAAUACGCUAAAUAUGGAAUGUGACUGGUUAUAUUUCUUGUAAAUAAGUAGGUCAAGAACAUCCUUCUCCAGUCAGUAUGCUGAAGAAAUAUGUACAUUCGUGAAAGGACUUUCAUCUACUAAAUGCUCACUCAUGUGAAAGACAGUUUAAAAAUGCUUUUAAAAGAAAACAUUUUUAUAGCUAGCAUGUAAAGGAAGGCUGCAAUGUAAUAUGGCAUUGUUAAUGAUAACGCUUCACUAGCGAAGUAUUACAUUUAACCUAUUUCUUGAGAAAAGGGCAAUGCAUCCAAGAAUUUUUGUAUAAAUUCUGUCUAAUCAUUUUAAAUAACAUUUCUUUUGAUAGAAUUCUAUUAAUCCAGAAGAAAUAAUGUAAAAGGAAAAAUAUAGCACUCAAAACAUUAAUUCAUGACACACUUCUUUAAAAUUAAUGAGAUUUUAAACUAGAGUUCUUAAUCAUCUUUCUCUCCUUAAUCAUAAAUCUGUCAAAAAGAAUUUACAUAACUGUGCAAUCAAACACAAACGGAAAAACCAAACAAGACUGCUCUAUUAGAAGGAAUACAAUUAGAAUAAAGUAUAACACAGCAGCACCUAUUUCCUACUAUAUUCAAAAUUCUCCAUAAAAGGUAAUAUAGUCUCAGAAGAUGAUAAGGGAUUACUUUAACUUCUCUGGACCUCAGUAUUUUUCAUUUAUAAAACAAGGAAAAUGCUCUGAAGAUUUUCUCUAAACUCCAUUUGAUCUCCUAAGUUUAUAACAUCAAAGUUUGUUUCACCCGAGACUGAAUUAAGAACUCAGAUGGUGCCUUUGCUACUAAUCAGAUCCACUGACGAGGCUGGAUCUUGCCAGGCAAUGAUCCUUUUAGGAAAUACAUCUGUUUUCCAUUGCCUUUUAAUGGCCUAGCAACUACAAAGCUAGAUUCUGUUAAAAUAAAUGAGAAAUCCACAAUUCAUUUUUUUAUGAACAUGCAUUAAUCACAAUGUUGAUUGACUGUUUUUUAUUUUAUUUUAUUUUUUUAUUUUAUUUUUUUGUCUUUUUGUGUUUUUUUUUUUUUUUUCUUGAGCCAAUCCCAUGGCAUAUGGAGGUUCCCAGAAAUAGUAAAAAAAAAUAAAAUAAAUAAAAAAAUAAAAGAGUCUCUAGAAAAAGGUGCCCAAUUUGAUGAUGUAUCUUGAAAUUUUUCCACUUAAUGACAGCAGGUAUUUGAUAAGAACUGUAUUCAAAUAGCCAAAGGGCUGGCAUCUGUGAUGCCUGCAUUUAAACUUGGCAUUCCACCAAGAUAAGUUAGGUAAAUUACUGGAAGGUGUCUGUCUAAUUAAAGAAGUACCAUGUACUGCCCCUCACCUCUGAGAGUAUUUGAUUUUUUUUCUUUCUCUUUUACUUCUUCCCAUUCUGUUCAGAGACAUGCUCAAAGGACUCCUGACUUCUUUAAGGAAAAGAAAAAGCAAAACCAAAACACAAUGAACUUCCUUGAAUUUAUCUUAUUUCUGUCAAGAAUUUAUCAGUAAGCUUUAUAAAAUACAUUUAGUUAUAUUAUCCCUAUAUAAUAUUAAUCAGUAACUCUCAAUCACCUAUAGAAUGAAAUUUAAGUUUCUUAGAGUAACCUCUUGUGGCAGAUUAUUCUCCAAAGGUGGGAGGCAGAGGUAACUUUCCCUCUUCUUGAAGCUGGGCUAGACUUAGUGACUUUCUUACAUUCAGUAAAAUACAAGAGAUUCACAGGGAGAUGCCACAUCUCUAUUCUUACUCACUUAGAAUAUAAGUACACCAGCUAUGUAAUAAUUUUCCCUCCCUUGAAUUGCCAGGAAUGGUGAGGGACUAAACAAUGGUUUGGGUGAACCAAGAGGCAUCAACAAUAGAGAUACCACUUACGAAAGGUUUAAAAUACAGAAAGGAUUUGAGAAACCCACAAAUUUCUAGGGCUGUAGGACUGAAAGCAGAAUUGAAAAAUCUGUUGAUCUUGUAACACAUGGGGAUUUCAAAUGCUUUUGUCUUUCUAGGAACAGCUCUAAAAAUAUUUAAGAAGUUUAUUUUUUUCCAGUGAUGCAGAGAAAAGCUAUUAAAUUCCUAGGCAUUGUCACAGUGUUAUGCAAAAUAAAAUGUCUAUGAAACUGGGCUUUUUUCUAAACACUUAGUGGACCAUUUAAGGGAAAUAUAAAAUGUUGAACGUGUGAGAACACACAAGACAAUCUAAAAAUACAUAUGUCUCAAAGACAAGAUGAUUCACAUAAUGCUAAUUAAGUCAAUAACAAAAAAGUAUGACUUUGAAACACAGAAUUAUUUUGAUAGUAAUCAAUGACAGAAUUAAAGUAAAACAAUUCAGUUAUAAAAUUUAUUCUCUAAAUAAUUAUGGUUAUUUAGCCACUGAAUUUAUAAAAAAAAUGGAAUAGAAAACUAUGCCAUUAUUAAUAGAUGCACAUAUAUUUCACUUUAAGAAAAUCAUGAAAGAUUCUGGAAGGCUUAUUUAAAUAUUGUUUAUAUGAAACCACAUGGUUUAUUUUCAUAGUGUUAGUGGGAUUUGAAUAUCAAUUAUCUGCUAAAUUUAACUCAUAGUAGGUAUCUUAGCCCC